GAUCUGCUGAGGGUAAGCCCUACUUCGCCUCGAUU
Molecule: ribosomal RNA, 35 nt
Filed under: Verticillium dahliae
Lineage: Eukaryota; Fungi; Ascomycota; Sordariomycetes; Glomerellales; Plectosphaerellaceae
Description: partial 28S ribosomal RNA
Source: RNAcentral